AUGAAAAUGGGCACCCCAUUCUAAAACAAAACUUUUAACCAAAUCCCAUUGUUCCUCCUCACUGAACUUCUUCCAUUUCUUCUUCAUUUCCUCCGAUUUCAAUCCCGUGUAGUGGCAAAACUCAACGAACAAAAGCUCUUUGCUUUUCUUCAACGCUUCCUCUUUCUGUAUCAUCUGGGUGUUCAUCUUUCCAACCUCUGUUGCAAAAUCUGAUGCCAGGUCAAUAUCGUUCAUGUCGUCGUCGUUGUUGGUGCACGAGACUUUGUGAAACUUGGGAUGAU
RNAcentral lists this unclassified non-coding RNA (281 nucleotides) under Hevea brasiliensis (rubber tree). Lineage: Eukaryota; Viridiplantae; Streptophyta; Magnoliopsida; Malpighiales; Euphorbiaceae. The record is from RNAcentral.